RNAcentral lists this unclassified non-coding RNA (221 nucleotides) under Hevea brasiliensis (rubber tree). Lineage: Eukaryota; Viridiplantae; Streptophyta; Magnoliopsida; Malpighiales; Euphorbiaceae. The record is from RNAcentral.
AAGAGAAAAUCUCCUUCAUCAAACUGGCUCCCUUAGUAUCCUCCCUAUACAUCAACCAACUAGAAAUGUCCGUGUUUUUCGGCAGCAACCCGAGAGUACUCCGGCCAGAGAGAUACAGGGUAUCCUCGUGAGAUACCCUCCUAAGCAACUCACAAAACUCUUAACACCAAAAAUGCGCAUUUGUUACGCCAAUCUUCUGUCAAGUCUAUUCUACUCAACUU